This 253-nucleotide ribosomal RNA is filed under the name uncultured bacterium. RNAcentral's name for it is "partial 16S ribosomal RNA". It matches the Rfam family "Bacterial small subunit ribosomal RNA", at positions 524 to 776 of the family's 1533-position model. The record is from RNAcentral.
UACGGAGGGGGCAAGCGUUGUUCGGAAUUACUGGGCGUAAAGGGCGCGUAGGCGGCCUUCUAAGUCGAACGUGAAAUCCCUGGGCUCAACCCAGGAACUGCGUCCGAUACUGGAAGGCUUGAAUCCGGGAGAGGGAUGCGGAAUUCCAGGUGUAGCGGUGAAAUGCGUAGAUAUCUGGAGGAACACCGGUGGCGAAGGCGGCAUCCUGGACCGGUAUUGACGCUGAGGCGCGAAAGCCAGGGGAGCAAACGGG